Molecule: long non-coding RNA, 1013 nt
Filed under: Xyrichtys novacula (pearly razorfish)
Lineage: Eukaryota; Metazoa; Chordata; Actinopteri; Labriformes; Labridae
Source: RNAcentral
GCAUACUUCUCCAUGGUCGUAUAAGGACUUCCGGCCCACAGGAUACAGAGCAGCAAGUUCAUCUGGAUCCUUUCAGCGCUGCUCACCUCGUCAGCUCAAGUGUUGCCAUAGGAAAUAGUAUCCUGGCAACAGCACUAACCUGAGCAAAGACAAAGUAAGGUCAUGCAGACAACCAGACGUGGUACAACGACGCUGUAUGGCAAUUCAUUUUCAUAACCUUUGCUUGCAAGAAAUUUCAACACAUUUUGGUCAGCCUCACUUUCUAUCAGGUCAGCCUCUUUUCACAGCUGCUUUGGUGCAGUCAUUUAAAAAUCUACAUGUUUGGAUGUCAUGCAUAAUACUGUAAUGUGUCUUGCUCUACCUGUGCUCUAUCAAUAAUUGCAUGAAAUAGCACUUUCAUCUGAAUUUGCAUUCAUACCUCAGGGGAACAGUGUGUAGAUAUUCCUCUGGGGGGUAAAAUGAACCUUUUUGUGCAGGAUUUCAGCACAUACUGCAAAGAUAUCAGCAUGCUGUUUGCAGAUAGUCACUGUAAUAUUAUACACUCCUUUCUGAGGAAUCUCAACCUUAUGCAGCAGGGUUACAGAACAAAUGAUAAACAUGCAGGAAAAUCAAUUGCUCCUGAUUUACACCACAGGAGAGUGUGAGUUGUGUAUAUUUUGCAGCCUUGAACACUGGACGGUGCUGCAUAAGUAUUCAGACUUCCAUGUUUGGUUUAACCCUCAGUUCAGUCUAUCUAAUUCCACAGAUCUGUCUGGGACUCCUUGCUGCUAAUCGUCCACAUCAUGAGCCGCCUGGAUGUUGGCAGUGUUGCCAUGGUGACUAUCAAGGGUUGAUAAAGUGGUUCGGGUCCUUUGUGUUCUGUACAUACAAGGUCUUUUGGCCACAAGAGAAUUACAGCAGAGGCAGAAAUUAUUUACAGGGAGCCUGGCAUUAAUUAAAAGGGGAAAUGACUCAUUUAGCAAACUGAUUACAGCGAGAAGAGUACGUCCAAAAACAAUUAGUUCUUUGGAAAC